GACGAACGCUGGCGGCGUGCCUAACACAUGCAAGUCGAGCGGGGACUUGGGAGCUUGCUUCCAAGUUCUAGCGGCGGACGGGUGAGUAACGCGUGAGCAACCUGCCUCAAACAGGGGGAUAACGCAUCGAAAGAUGUGCUAAUACCGCGUAAGACCACAGUGCCACAUGGCACAGGGGUCAAAGGAGCAAUCCGGUUUGAGAUGGGCUCGCGUCUGAUUAGCUAGUUGGCAGGGCAACGGCCUACCAAGGCGACGAUCAGUAGCCGACCUGAGAGGGUGACCGGCCACAUUGGGACUGAGACACGGCCCAA
This 311-nucleotide ribosomal RNA is filed under the name uncultured bacterium. RNAcentral describes it as "bacterial SSU rRNA". It matches the Rfam family "Bacterial small subunit ribosomal RNA", at positions 28 to 334 of the family's 1533-position model. The record is from RNAcentral.